Molecule: transfer RNA, 76 nt
Filed under: Ixodes scapularis (black-legged tick)
Lineage: Eukaryota; Metazoa; Arthropoda; Arachnida; Ixodida; Ixodidae
Description: tRNA-Ser for anticodon GGA
Source: RNAcentral
UCCUGGUUAGCUCAGUUGGUAGCUGAGCGCUCCACUGGAAAUAAAGAGGUCUCUUGUUCGAUACCAGAGCCAGGCG